Molecule: long non-coding RNA, 629 nt
Filed under: Vitis vinifera (wine grape)
Lineage: Eukaryota; Viridiplantae; Streptophyta; Magnoliopsida; Vitales; Vitaceae
Description: long non-coding RNA (VVIN_LNC004890)
Source: RNAcentral
GCAAUUCUUUGCUUCUGCCCUCCUGAGAGUUGGACUCCUCUCUCCCCAACUGGAGUUUUAUAUCCAUCAGGCAACCCGCUGACAAAGCCGUGGACAUUGGCAGCUCGAGCUGCUUCAAUUACUUCUGCUUCUGUUGCUCCAUCUUUGCCAUAGGCAAUGUUGUCCAAAAUGCUAGCUGCAAAGAGAGCUGGCUCUUGCUGUACCAACCCGAUUUUGAGCCUCAAAGACUUCAGGUUCAAACGCCGGACAUCUUUGCCAUCAAUCAUAACUUUUCCAGCAGUUGGGUCAUAGAAUCGCUCGAUCAGUGCAAUGACAGAACUCUUACCAGACCCACUAGCUCCAACAAGGGCUUGGCUCUGGCCAGCUCGAAUUCUUAGGUUAAGGUCUUUAAACACUGUGAUAUCAGACCGUGAAGGGUAUGAAAAAUCAACGUGGCGUAGUUCAAUUUCCCCACGGAUUGAUUCAACUGGUUCAGCAUCUGAAUCAUCAGGGUCAAUCUUGGUUGAACGAUCAAGAAUAGAAAAGACUGAUCCAACAGCCUCGCCACCCCUAAUGAUCUCAGGAGCAAGACUAACUGUUUCUGCAACUGAAUUGGCUGUGAUGACCAGCACCACAAAAACCUUAAUAAC